CCUUCGGGAAGCACAGUCGCACGGAGUAGACCCGAAACCGGGUGAGCUACCCAUGGCCAGGCUGAAGCGAGGGUAAUGCCUCGUGGAGGGCCGAACGCACUAAUAUUGCAAAAUUAGGCGAUGAGCUGUGGAUAGGGGUGAUAUGCCAAACGAACCCGGAGAUAGCUGGUUCUCCCCGAAAUAGCUCUAGGGCUAGCGUCAGGUGUUCAGUCUCGGAGGUAGAGCACUGGAUUGGCUAGGGGGCGUAUAGCUUACCGAACCAAACCAAACUCCGAAUGCCGAGACUCUAGAACCUGGCAGUCGGACUACGGGUAAUGAGAUUCGUAGUCGAAAGGGAAACAGCCCAGAUCGUCAGCUAAGGUCCUUAAGUACAAGCUAAGUGGCAAAGGAUGUGGAGCUACUGGGACAGCCAGGAGGUUGGCUUAGAAGCAGCCAUCCUUUAAAGAGUGCGUAAUAGCUCACUGGUCUAGUGAUUCUGCGCCGAAAAUAUACCGGGGCUCAAGCUUGUCACCGAAGCUACGGAUGUGUCUCUUAGGAGACGCGUGGUAGGGGAGCGUUCUGCAAACCAUUGAAGCCAGACUGUGAAGACUGGUGGAGGACGCAGAAGUGAGAAUGCCGGCAUGAGUAGCGAAAUACAUGUGAGAACCAUGUACCCCGUAAGUCCAAGGUUUCCGACGGAAGGUUAAUCCGCGUCGGGUGAGUCGGUCCUAAGCCCAGGCCGCAGGGCGUAAGCGAUGGAUAACAGGUUAAUAUUCCUGUACCACUCGGGAAGAGCGAGGGGGGGACGCAGGAGGGUAGGUCAGCCUCUUAUUGGAUUGAGGUGCUAAGCCUGUAGGGAGAUGAGGGAACCAGGCAAAUCCGGUUUCUGAUCCUGAGGGGUGGGCGGCGCCCGUAAGGGCCACAAGUGACUGAGCCCAAACUGCCGAGAAAAGCCUCUAAGCGUUGACGUCCGGGUGCCCGUACCGCAAACCGACACUGGUGGACGGGUAGAGUAUACCAAGGGGAUCGGGAGAACCUUCGUUAAGGAAUUAGGCGACAUGACUCCGUAACUUCGGGAUAAGGAGUGCCGUAGUAGGAUGCCGGGCUUGACUGUUCGGAGUCCGAGGCGGCCGCAGAGAAGUGGCCCUACCGACUGUUUACCAAAAUCACAGGCCUCUGCUAACGCGCAAGCGGAUGUAUAGGGGCUGACGCCUGCCCAGUGCCGGAAGGUUAAAGGGAGAGGUUAGCGCAAGCGAAGCUUUGAACUGAAGCCCCGGUGAACGGCGGCCGUAACUAUAACGGUCCUAAGGUAGCGAAAUUCCUUGUCGGGUAAGUUUCGACCCGCACGAAUGGCGUAACGAGUGGGGCACUGUCUCGACGAAGGACCCGGUGAAAUUGAAAUAGGCGUGAAGAUGCGUCUUACCCGCAGCAGGACAAAAAGACCCCGUGGAGCUUUACUGCAGCCUGGCAUUGUGUUAGGGCUGAAUCUC
RNAcentral lists this ribosomal RNA (1469 nucleotides) under metagenome. Its description in RNAcentral is "bacterial LSU rRNA". It matches the Rfam family "Bacterial large subunit ribosomal RNA", at positions 684 to 2136 of the family's 2925-position model. The record is from RNAcentral.